GACGAACGCUGGCGGCGUGCCUAAUACAUGCAAGUAGAACGCUGAAGGAGGAGCUUGCUCUUCUGGAUGAGUUGCGAACGGGUGAGUAACGCGUAGGUAACCUGCCUGGUAGCGGGGGAUAACUAUUGGAAACGAUAGCUAAUACCGCAUAAUAGUAGAUGUUGCAUGACAUUUACUUAAAAGGUGCAAUUGCAUCACUACCAGAUGGACCUGCGUUGUAUUAGCUAGUUGGUGGGGUAACGGCUCACCAAGGCGACGAUACAUAGCCGACCUGAGAGGGUGAUCGGCCACACUGGGACUGAGACACGGCCCAGACUCCUACGGGAGGCAGCAGUAGGGAAUCUUCGGCAAUGGACGGAAGUCUGACCGAGCAACGCCGCGUGAGUGAAGAAGGUUUUCGGAUCGUAAAGCUCUGUUGUAAGAGAAGAACGAGUGUGAGAGUGGAAAGUUCACACGGUGACGGUAUCUACCAGAAAGGAC
This 480-nucleotide ribosomal RNA is filed under the name Streptococcus sp. oral taxon 064. Its description in RNAcentral is "bacterial SSU rRNA". It matches the Rfam family "Bacterial small subunit ribosomal RNA", at positions 28 to 493 of the family's 1533-position model. Lineage: Bacteria; Bacillati; Bacillota; Bacilli; Lactobacillales; Streptococcaceae. The record is from RNAcentral.